Molecule: transfer RNA, 73 nt
Organism: Camelus ferus (Wild Bactrian camel)
Lineage: Eukaryota; Metazoa; Chordata; Mammalia; Artiodactyla; Camelidae
Rfam family: tRNA
About the family: Transfer RNA (tRNA) molecules are approximately 80 nucleotides in length. Their secondary structure includes four short double-helical elements and three loops (D, anti-codon, and T loops).
Source: Rfam
GAGGGUAUAGCUCAAAUGGUAGAGCGCAUGUUUAGCAUGCACAAGGUCCUGGGUUCAACCCCCAGUACCUCCA